This 76-nucleotide transfer RNA is filed under the name Sphaerodactylus townsendi. Its description in RNAcentral is "tRNA-Ala". Lineage: Eukaryota; Metazoa; Chordata; Lepidosauria; Squamata; Sphaerodactylidae. The record is from RNAcentral.
GGAGAGAUGGUGGCUCAGUUGGCAGAUCAUUUGCUUGGCAUGAAGAAGAUCCCAGGUUCAAUCCCUGGAAUUUCCA